UUUAAACCCUAAAUACAUAUAAAAUUCUCAUAUUA
Molecule: transfer RNA, 35 nt
Filed under: Placobdella rugosa
Lineage: Eukaryota; Metazoa; Annelida; Clitellata; Rhynchobdellida; Glossiphoniidae
Description: partial tRNA-Leu
Source: RNAcentral